UAAAUAUGUAUAGUCUUUAUCCUAGUGAGUAAUAUAAAAAAAAACCCAGAGUUUGAUUAUCUUAAUUAUUUUCUCCAAAGAUAUUACAACGGGUAAAUCUUCGUAGGACACCCUGUGCGUAUACACAAUGACGAGCGCAUCGUAUUAUCAUAUUAUAUGCAUUUCAAUCGAAGAUAUUUCGCAAACGUAGUAGACAUCUACCAUAAUACGUCUGAUGAUCAUCGCUGUCAUUCUUUUUAUCAUACAGGCAUAUUUCCAAGAAGUCGAGUGUAUUAUGCUUUACUGAAGGAGAACAAUACAUUUUUAAUCGAAAGAGACGGUUCGCUUUUAAGUUU
Non-coding RNA from Cinara cedri, 335 nucleotides. The record is from the annotation of a GenBank genome assembly. NCBI's taxonomy places the organism in Eukaryota, Metazoa, Arthropoda, Insecta, Hemiptera, Aphididae.